RNAcentral lists this ribosomal RNA (468 nucleotides) under uncultured bacterium. Its description in RNAcentral is "partial 16S ribosomal RNA". It matches the Rfam family "Bacterial small subunit ribosomal RNA", at positions 28 to 507 of the family's 1533-position model. The record is from RNAcentral.
GACGAACGCUGGCGGCGUGCUUAACACAUGCAAGUCGAACGGAAAGGCCCUGCUUUUGUGGGGUGCUCGAGUGGCGAACGGGUGAGUAACACGUGAGUAACCUGCCCUUGACUUUGGGAUAACUUCAGGAAACUGGGGCUAAUACCGGAUAGGAGCUCCUGCUGCAUGGUGGGGGUUGGAAAGUUUCGGCGGUUGGGGAUGGACUCGCGGCCUAUCAGCUUGUUGGUGGGGUAGUGGAUUACCAAGGCUUUGAGGGGUAGCCGGCCUGAGAGGGUGACCGGCCACAUUAGGACUGAGAUGAGGCCCAGACUCCUACGGGAGGCAGCAGUGGGGAAUAGUGCACAAUGGGCGGAAGCCAGAUGCGGCAACGCCGCGUGCGGGAUGACGGCCUUCGGGUUGUAAACCGCUUUCGCCUGUGACGAAGCGUGAGUGACGGUAAUGGGUAAAGAAGCACCGGCUAACUACGUG